RNAcentral lists this ribosomal RNA (424 nucleotides) under Leptolyngbya sp. CYAE06. RNAcentral describes it as "bacterial SSU rRNA". It matches the Rfam family "Bacterial small subunit ribosomal RNA", at positions 356 to 795 of the family's 1533-position model. The record is from RNAcentral. Lineage: Bacteria; Bacillati; Cyanobacteriota; Cyanophyceae; Leptolyngbyales; Leptolyngbyaceae.
GGGGAAUCUUCCGAAUGGGCGCAAGCCUGACGGAGCAAUACCGCGUGAGGGAGGACGGCUUUUGGGUUGUAAACCUCUUUUAUCAGGGAAGAACAAAAUGACGGUACCUGAUGAAUCAGCAUCGGCUAACUCCGUGCCAGCAGCCGCGGUAAUACGGAGGAUGCAAGCGUUAUCCGGAAUUAUUGGGCGUAAAGCGUCCGUAGGUGGUUUUUCAAGUCUGCUGUCAAAGCGUGGAGCUUAACUCCAUACCGGCAGUGGAAACUGGAAGACUAGAGUGCGAUAGGGGUAACGGGAAUUCCCAGUGUAGCGGUGAAAUGCGUAGAGAUUGGGAAGAACACCAGCGGCGAAAGCGCGUUACUGGGUCUGCACUGACACUGAGGGACGAAAGCUAGGGGAGCGAAAGGGAUUAGAUACCCCAGUAGUC